Molecule: ribosomal RNA, 1526 nt
Filed under: Klebsiella aerogenes
Lineage: Bacteria; Pseudomonadati; Pseudomonadota; Gammaproteobacteria; Enterobacterales; Enterobacteriaceae
Description: bacterial SSU rRNA
Rfam family: Bacterial small subunit ribosomal RNA
Source: RNAcentral
GAGUUUGAUCAUGGCUCAGAUUGAACGCUGGCGGCAGGCCUAACACAUGCAAGUCGAGCGGUAACACAGAGAGCUUGCUCUCGGGUGACGAGCGGCGGACGGGUGAGUAAUGUCUGGGAAACUGCCUGAUGGAGGGGGAUAACUACUGGAAACGGUAGCUAAUACCGCAUAACGUCGCAAGACCAAAGUGGGGGACCUUCGGGCCUCAUGCCAUCAGAUGUGCCCAGAUGGGAUUAGCUAGUAGGUGGGGUAAUGGCUCACCUAGGCGACGAUCCCUAGCUGGUCUGAGAGGAUGACCAGCCACACUGGAACUGAGACACGGUCCAGACUCCUACGGGAGGCAGCAGUGGGGAAUAUUGCACAAUGGGCGCAAGCCUGAUGCAGCCAUGCCGCGUGUAUGAAGAAGGCCUUCGGGUUGUAAAGUACUUUCAGCGAGGAGGAAGGCGUUAAGGUUAAUAACCUUGGUGAUUGACGUUACUCGCAGAAGAAGCACCGGCUAACUCCGUGCCAGCAGCCGCGGUAAUACGGAGGGUGCAAGCGUUAAUCGGAAUUACUGGGCGUAAAGCGCACGCAGGCGGUCUGUCAAGUCGGAUGUGAAAUCCCCGGGCUCAACCUGGGAACUGCAUUCGAAACUGGCAGGCUAGAGUCUUGUAGAGGGGGGUAGAAUUCCAGGUGUAGCGGUGAAAUGCGUAGAGAUCUGGAGGAAUACCGGUGGCGAAGGCGGCCCCCUGGACAAAGACUGACGCUCAGGUGCGAAAGCGUGGGGAGCAAACAGGAUUAGAUACCCUGGUAGUCCACGCCGUAAACGAUGUCGACUUGGAGGUUGUGCCCUUGAGGCGUGGCUUCCGGAGCUAACGCGUUAAGUCGACCGCCUGGGGAGUACGGCCGCAAGGUUAAAACUCAAAUGAAUUGACGGGGGCCCGCACAAGCGGUGGAGCAUGUGGUUUAAUUCGAUGCAACGCGAAGAACCUUACCUACUCUUGACAUCCAGAGAACUUAGCAGAGAUGCUUUGGUGCCUUCGGGAACUCUGAGACAGGUGCUGCAUGGCUGUCGUCAGCUCGUGUUGUGAAAUGUUGGGUUAAGUCCCGCAACGAGCGCAACCCUUAUCCUUUGUUGCCAGCGGUCCGGCCGGGAACUCAAAGGAGACUGCCAGUGAUAAACUGGAGGAAGGUGGGGAUGACGUCAAGUCAUCAUGGCCCUUACGAGUAGGGCUACACACGUGCUACAAUGGCAUAUACAAAGAGAAGCGACCUCGCGAGAGCAAGCGGACCUCAUAAAGUAUGUCGUAGUCCGGAUUGGAGUCUGCAACUCGACUCCAUGAAGUCGGAAUCGCUAGUAAUCGUAGAUCAGAAUGCUACGGUGAAUACGUUCCCGGGCCUUGUACACACCGCCCGUCACACCAUGGGAGUGGGUUGCAAAAGAAGUAGGUAGCUUAACCUUCGGGAGGGCGCUUACCACUUUGUGAUUCAUGACUGGGGUGAAGUCGUAACAAGGUAACCGUAGGGGAACCUGCGGUUGGAUCACC